RNAcentral lists this ribosomal RNA (497 nucleotides) under uncultured bacterium. RNAcentral describes it as "partial 16S ribosomal RNA". It matches the Rfam family "Bacterial small subunit ribosomal RNA", at positions 28 to 507 of the family's 1533-position model. The record is from RNAcentral.
GAUGAACGCUGGCGGCGUGCCUAAUACAUGCAAGUCGAGCGAACGGACGAGAAGCUUGCUUCUCUGAUGUUAGCGGCGGACGGGUGAGUAACACGUGGAUAACCUACCUAUAAGACUGGGAUAACUUCGGGAAACCGGAGCUAAUACCGGAUAAUAUUUUGAACCGCAUGGUUCAAAAGUGAAAGACGGUCUUGCUGUCACUUAUAGAUGGAUCCGCGCUGCAUUAGCUAGUUGGUAAGGUAACGGCUUACCAAGGCAACGAUGCAUAGCCGACCUGAGAGGGUGAUCGGCCACACUGGAACUGAGACACGGUCCAGACUCCUAAGGGAGGCAGCAGUAGGGAAUCUUCCGCAAUGGGCGAAAGCCUGACGGAGCAACGCCGCGUGAGUGAUGAAGGUCCUCGGAUCGUAAAGCUCUGUUAUUAGGGAAGAACAUAUGUGUAAGUAACUGUGCACAUCUUGACGGUACCUAAUCAGAAAGCCACGGCUAACUACGUG